AUUACCUCAGUAACGGCGAGUGAAGCGGUAACAGCUCAAAUUUGAAAUCUGGGUCUUUCAGGCUCCGAGUUGUAAUUUGUAGAAGAUGCUUCGGGUGCGGCUCCGGUCUAAGUUCCUUGGAACAGGACGUCAUAGAGGGUGAGAAUCCCGUAUGUGAUCGGUGGCUUGCGCCCAUGUGAAGCUCUUUCGACGAGUCGAGUUGUUUGGGAAUGCAGCUCCAAAUGGGUGGUAUAUUUCAUCUAAAGCUAAAUAUUGGCCAGAGACCGAUAGCGCACAAGUAGAGUGAUCGAAAGAUGAAAAGCACUUUGGAAAGAGAGUUAAACAGUACGUGAAAUUGUUGAAAGGGAAGCGCUUGCAACCAGACUUGCGUGUUGUCGAUCAUCCGGGGUUCUCCCCGGUGCACUCGACCUCACUCAGGCCAGCAUCGGUUUCGGUGGUUGGAUAAAGGCCUUGGGAAUGUGGCUCCUCUCGGGGAGUGUUAUAGCCCUCGGUGCAAUGCAGCCUACCGGGACCGAGGACCGCGCUUCGGCUAGGAUGCUGGCGUAAUGGUUGUAAGCGACCCGUCUUGAAACACGGACCAAGGAGUCUAACAUCUAUGCGAGUGUUUGGGUGUCAAACCCAUACGCGUAAUGAAAGUGAACGGAGGUGAGAACCCUUAAGGGUGCAUCAUCGACCGAUCCUGAUGUCUUCGGAUGGAUUUGAGUAAGAGCAUAGCUGUUGGGACCCGAAAGAUGGUGAACUAUGCCUGAAUAGGGUGAAGCCAGAGGAAACUCUGGUGGAGGCUCGCAGCGGUUCUGACGUGCAAAUCGAUCGUCAAAUUUGGGUAUAGGGGCGAAAGACUAAUCGAACCAUUGGUAACCUUGCUAGGUGGUUGGGAGGGCGCUCAAAGUGCAGCCCUAGUCCUGUAGCCAGGG
Molecule: ribosomal RNA, 914 nt
Filed under: Pseudofabraea citricarpa
Lineage: Eukaryota; Fungi; Ascomycota; Leotiomycetes; Helotiales; Dermateaceae
Description: eukaryotic LSU rRNA
Rfam family: Eukaryotic large subunit ribosomal RNA
Source: RNAcentral